This 503-nucleotide ribosomal RNA is filed under the name uncultured bacterium. RNAcentral's name for it is "partial 16S ribosomal RNA". It matches the Rfam family "Bacterial small subunit ribosomal RNA", at positions 28 to 523 of the family's 1533-position model. The record is from RNAcentral.
GAUGAACGCUAGCGGCAGGCCUAACACAUGCAAGUCGAGGGGUAGCAGGAUUAAGCUUGCUUAAUUGCUGACGACCGGCGCACGGGUGCGUAACGCGUAUGCAACCUACCUUAUACUGGGGUAUAGCCCGGAGAAAUUCGGAUUAAUCCCCCAUAGUACUAAUGAAUCGCAUGGUUUAUUAGUUAAAGCAUUGCGGUAUAAGAUGGGCAUGCGUCCUAUUAGCUAGAUGGUGAGGUAACGGCUCACCGUGGCUACGAUAGGUAGGGGGCCUGAGAGGGUGGUCCCCCACACUGGAACUGAGACACGGACCAGACUCCUACGGGAGGCAGCAGUGAGGAAUAUUGGUCAAUGGGCGCAAGCCUGAACCAGCCAUGCCGCGUGCAGGAAGAAUGCCCUAUGGGUUGUAAACUGCUUUUAUUUGGGAAGAAACCCACUGUUUCUACGGUGGUUGACGGUACCAAAUGAAUAAGCACCGGCUAACUCCGUGCCAGCCGCCGCGGUAA